UACUUAUCAAGAGAGGCGGAGGGACUGACCCGAUGAAGCCCGGCAACCUGUUUAAGUAAGGGAAUUGUGUUCAUGCAUAAUUCUCCUUAUGAUAACAAGGUGCUAAUUUCAGCAGAGUACAGUGUACUCUGGCAGAUAAGUU
RNAcentral lists this non-coding RNA (142 nucleotides) under Anaerobacillus isosaccharinicus. RNAcentral's name for it is "Anaerobacillus sp. NB2006 SAM riboswitch aptamer (S box leader)". It matches the Rfam family "SAM riboswitch aptamer (S box leader)". Rfam says of the family: The SAM riboswitch is found upstream of a number of genes which code for proteins involved in methionine or cysteine biosynthesis in Gram-positive bacteria. The SAM riboswitch acts at the level of transcription termination control. RNAcentral also lists the same sequence under 1 other name. The record is from Rfam by way of RNAcentral. Lineage: Bacteria; Bacillati; Bacillota; Bacilli; Caryophanales; Bacillaceae.